This 455-nucleotide ribosomal RNA is filed under the name uncultured bacterium. RNAcentral describes it as "bacterial SSU rRNA". It matches the Rfam family "Bacterial small subunit ribosomal RNA", at positions 340 to 786 of the family's 1533-position model. The record is from RNAcentral.
UACGGAAGGCAGCAGGGGGAAUAUUGCACAAUGGGCGCAAGCCUGAUGCAGCCAUGCCGCGUGUAUGAAGAAGGCCUUCGGGUUGUAAAGUACUUUCAGCGGGGAGGAAGGCGAUGCGGUUAAUAACCGCGUCGAUUGACGUUACCCGCAGAAGAAGCACCGGCUAACUCCGUGCCAGCAGCCGCGGUAAUACGGAGGGUGCAAGCGUUAAUCGGAAUUACUGGGCGUAAAGCGCACGCAGGCGGUCUGUUAAGUCAGAUGUGAAAUCCCCGGGCUUAACCUGGGAACUGCAUUUUGAAACUGGCAGGCUUGAGUCUUGUAGAGGGGGUUAGAAUUCCAGGUGUAGCGGUGAAAUGCGUAGAGAUCUGGAGGAAUACCGGUGGCGAAGGCGGCCCCUGGGACAAAGACUGACGCUCAGGUGCGAAAGCGUGGGGAGCAAACGAGGAUUAGAUACC